This 467-nucleotide ribosomal RNA is filed under the name uncultured bacterium. RNAcentral's name for it is "partial 16S ribosomal RNA". It matches the Rfam family "Bacterial small subunit ribosomal RNA", at positions 28 to 507 of the family's 1533-position model. The record is from RNAcentral.
GACGAACGCUGGCGGCGUGCUUAACACAUGCAAGUCGAACGGAAAGGCCUCUUUCGGGGGUUACUCGAGUGCCGAACGGGUAAUUAACCCUUAAUUAACUUGCCCUUGCCUUUGGGUUACUUUCAGGAAAUUGGGCCUAAUCCCGGAUAGGACCUCCUGCUGCUUGUUGGGGUUUGGAAAUUUUCGGCGGUUGGGGUUGGACUCGCGGCUUAUCAGCUUGUUGGUGGGGUAGUGGCUUACCAAGGCUUUGACGGGUAGCCGGCCUGAGAGGGUGACCGGCCACAUUGGGACUGAGAUACGGCCCAGACUCCUACGGGAGGCAGCAGUGGGGAAUAUUGCACAAUGGGUGGAAGCCUGAUGCAGCAACGCCGUGUGCGGGAUGACGGCCUUCGGGUUGUAAACCGCUUUCGCUCAUGACGAAGCUUUGUGUGACGGUAGUGGGUAAAGAAGCACCGGCUAACUACGUG